UUUGGCCAGUUAUUAUCCAUAGUUUCACUGAGAAAUUGUGAGGAUUGCUGGAGAAAUGGUUGUUGAAGAUGACAGAACUAGUGGAAAUGGCAAAAUUAACUUGUUUGGUUAAUGAACGAUUAACAGGAUUUAUUUUGUCUAGAAUAGGGGUGUCAAACUGGCAGCCCAAGGGCCAGAUGUAUCAAGCGGAGGCCACACCCAACCCAGCUCCACGAAGGUGGAAAAAUAUCACAAAAUGUCACAUGAUGGCAAUGUGACACUGUGACUUUGACACUCGUGGUCUUCAAAUAGAAAUAUUCAUUCCAAAAGGCCUUUUCCACACCUAAAAUAUCACCACUACUUUCUGUCAUGUUCCAGAAACCAAGAAAAAGGUGCAGAGUUACUUUUAAGUAGUUUCCUUUAUUGUUCUUACCUAUAGGCAGAAAUCUUGCAAACUAAAACUACUAUCUACAUCAUUCUGUAAAAUUUUAGGGAGGCACAAUCUUGACCCGCUUUCUCCCAGCUAAACUAUCUGGACUUCAUUGUGUCUUGAUCCUCUGAAAUACAGCCACUCUCUCUGGAUCUCUAGACUAUCUUCCACCACAGUUCUUUUCUUAAAGUUGAUAUUUGCAGUACAUUUAUGAUGAACUCAUUGUUGUCUAUGAUGUAUUUUCCUCUUUGGAAUAUAACCUUUUGGUGUAGUAGAUUCUAAUUUGAAAAUAUUCUCUCUUGUACACUUAACAUAUUUAAUGAUAAAUUGUCAGGGUAAUGAUGAUUUAGUUGUUGUAAUGCUGUAAUAAUGCUGCAACGGUUAGACUGAGUCUGCAGGGUUAUUUGACAGUUAUCACUUUAAGAAUCUGUAUUAUAAGAGAGGCCCUAUUGGAGCGUAUCUCUCUCUCUCCAUGUGUUCUUCCCUGCUGUAGCUGCUGGUCGAUUGUUUGACUUUUGCCUACUAUGUGUAUGUAUAUUAUUUUGUAGAGAUAAACCAUUAUUUAUUAUUACAAACUUCCUUUUGAUGUUAUUGCUCCUGGGUUGUGCGCACUCUGGCAUACAUAUCUUAUAUAAUCAAUGUUCAAUAAAUAAAUUUGUCUCUA
Molecule: non-coding RNA, 1073 nt
Organism: Pseudonaja textilis
Lineage: Eukaryota; Metazoa; Chordata; Lepidosauria; Squamata; Elapidae
Source: RefSeq, a predicted model, not a curated record